AGAGUUUGAUCAUGGCUCAGAUUGAACGCUGGCGGCAGGCCUAACACAUGCAAGUCGAACGGUAACAGGAAGAAGCUUGCUUCUUUGCUGACGAGUGGCGGACGGGUGAGUAAUGUCUGGGAAACUGCCUGAUGGAGGGGGAUAACUACUGGAAACGGUAGCUAAUACCGCAUAACGUCGCAAGACCAAAGAGGGGGACCUUCGGGCCUCUUGCCAUCGGAUGUGCCCAGAUGGGAUUAGCUAGUAGGUGGGGUAACGGCUCACCUAGGCGACGAUCCCUAGCUGGUCCGAGAGGAUGACCAGCCACACUGGAACUGAGACACGGUCCAGACUCCUACGGGAGGCAGCAGUGGGGAAUAUUGCACAAUGGGCGCAAGCCUGAUGCAGCCAUGCCGCGUGUAUGAAGAAGGCCUUCGGGUUGUAAAGUACUUUCAGCGGGGAGGAAGGGAGUAAAGUUAAUACCUCUGCUCAUUGACGUUACCCGCAGAAGAAGCACCGGCUAACUCCGUGCCAGCAGCCGCGGUAAUACGGAGGGUGCAAGCGUUAAUCGGAAUUACUGGGCGUAAAGCGCACGCAGGCGGUUUGUUAAGUCAGAUGUGAAAUCCCCGGGCUCAACCUGGGAACUGCAUCUGAUACUGGCAAGCUUGAGUCUCGUAGAGGGGGGUAGAAUUCCAGGUGUAGCGGUGAAAUGCGUAGAGAUCUGGAGGAAUACCGGUGGCGAAGGCGGCCCCCUGGACGAAGACUGACGCUCAGGUGCGAAAGCGUGGGAAGCAAACAGGAUUAGAUACCCUGGUAGUCCACGCCGUAAACGAUGUCGACUUGGAGGUUGUGCCCUUGAGGCGUGGCUUCCGGAGCUAACGCGUUAAGUCGACCGCCUGGGGAGUACGGCCGCAAGGUUAAAACUCAAAUGAAUUGACGGGGGCCCGCACAAGCGGUGGAGCAUGUGGUUUAAUUCGAUGCAACGCGAAGAACCUUACCUGGUCUUGACAUCCACGGAAGUUUUCAGAGAUGAGAAUGUGCCUUCGGGAACCGUGAGACAGGUGCUGCAUGGCUGUCGUCAGCUCGUGUUGUGAAAUGUUGGGUUAAGUCCCGCAACGAGCGCAACCCUUAUCCUUUGUUGCCAGCGGUCCGGCCGGGAACUCAAAGGAGACUGCCAGUGAUAAACUGGAGGAAGGUGGGGAUGACGUCAAGUCAUCAUGGCCCUUACGACCAGGGCUACACACGUGCUACAAUGGCGCAUACAAAGAGAAGCGACCUCGCGAGAGCAAGCGGACCUCAUAAAGUGCGUCGUAGUCCGGAUUGGAGUCUGCAACUCGACUCCAUGAAGUCGGAAUCGCUAGUAAUCGUGGAUCAGAAUGCCACGGUGAAUACGUUCCCGGGCCUUGUACACACCGCCCGUCACACCAUGGGAGUGGGUUGCAAAAGAAGUAGGUAGCUUAACCUUCGGGAGGGCGCUUACCACUUUGUGAUUCAUGACUGGGGUGAAGUCGAACAAGGUA
This 1499-nucleotide ribosomal RNA is filed under the name metagenome. RNAcentral describes it as "bacterial SSU rRNA". It matches the Rfam family "Bacterial small subunit ribosomal RNA". The record is from RNAcentral.